GCUAUGUCACAUACACAGCACAAUUCAUCCACUCAUCGUUCUUACAUACAAAGGCCUCUGCAAACAGACCGCCAACCGCGCCACCCACGCCACCGCGACCGACGAGCGUAUGAGGACGGGGCAUAUGAGGGUGGGAAAAGUCCCACCAUGGGCCGUGGUUCGAAAGCCGAUGGCCCAGACAAGUAAAGCCCGCAUGCGGGGAACGAAGAAAUACACGAUAGACUAUUCUAGGGUUGAUCGAGAGGGCUUUCUCUUCUCUUCCACCCGGCAGCCGGAAAGGUGCUGUUCUUGCCCCCCUCCUCCUCCUCCCGCUCUCCGAAGAAUCGAAGCAACAAAUAUGGACUCCUGCGGCGACGACGAUGAUGGGACAUGCGAAGCGAUAAUUCCUGGUCUGCCUGAUGAUUUGGCCUUGAGGUGUUUGGCAAAGAUCUCGCAUGGAUAUCAUGGAUUGCUAGAAUGUGUGUCAAAGAAAUGGAAACGAGCGAUCAGGAGCAUGGAUUAUGCUCAUAUAAAGGCCAGGGAAGGGUGGUGUGGGGAUUGGCUGUUUGUUUUGGGAGCCGACAGCCCAGCUCUGUGGCAUGCUUAUGAUCCUGAUGCAGAUCGUUGGCACCCUUUGCCAAGAAUGCCAGGAUUCACUGAUGAUGAUGAACUAUGCAGGUUUUCAUGUGUAAGUGUGAGCAACAAGUUCCUAGUGAUUGGUGGCUGCCACAUAUCACAUUCAGAAAAGAGGUGCUGGGAGACGAGAUCGGUGAUGGUGUUCGAUCCGUUCAAGAAGCAGUGGAACGCCACGGCUAACAUGCAAACAGCACGAACUGAUUUUGCAUGUGCUGUUAUCUCUGACAAGGUUUAUGUAGCUGGUGGAAGCAACUCUAGUAGUUCUGAAGGGCUUGCUACUGCUGAAGUUUAUGAUCCUGAUGCAGAUAAGUGGAAAGAUUUACCAUCAAUGCCUUUCCCCCUGAUCGAGUGCUUCAGCAUAUCCCAUGGAGGCCAAUUUCAUGUUGUCGGCAAGAGAAUCUGCAAUUUUCAGCAUGAUACUUAUGUUACCUUCAAUCCAUCAGAUCAAAAGUGGCAUGUUAUGGAAGAUUUGCUGCCAGUUUGUAAAUUGACACAUGACACUACAACCAUUAUUGAAAGUGACAUCUACAGCAUACUUCCAGAUGGCACUGUUACCAUGGUGAUGCCCGAUCAAAAGGAUUGGCACGCUUUGGGUGUAUAUCCUGCAGUGGUUCUACCAGACCACGAUAGACCAUUGAGUCCAUUCGGGUUUGGUUUUAUCGCAUUUGGGAGGUGCAUAUAUGUUGUUGGAGGUAUGGUUCUCAAGUAUAACACAAGCAAUCAUACGUAUGCAUAUGUGAAGCUAGAUGCAACUAAAUUCUGUGAUCCAAGAACUUCACCACUAGAAUGGCAGGAUGCUAAACCUAUGCCAGUACAAGCUUGUCGUAUUUUAGGAUGUGCUUCAAUGGAGGAAUAGAGUUCAUCCUGCUUUGUAUUGUAUCCAUUUUUGUAAGAUGUUACAAAAAGAAAGAUCUGACUGGAGACCUCAAUGGCUUCCAGCAUGAUAUGAUGUUUAUUCAGAGAAGUGUUGGAUUGGGAAUGACAUGCUGAUUCAUGGUUUUCCAUCCCGAUCUAUGUUUCCUUAUGAUUCCACAAAGGUGGAUAUCAUCUCAGGGUCAAUGGUUCUGCAUAAAGCUUAUCUCUUUGGGUUUCAAGAAAGCAGGGAUGGCACCAUCUGCCUAUGGUGGAUGCCGACCGUGAAGGAUGUUUGUGAUUCUAUAGUUGAUGCUCCCAGAACUGGACUUAGCAACUUGGUGGCUAGCCUUGCCUUGGGCAGCAUUUGUUCAAAACCGAUGUCCAGUGUUCUCCCGGUCUUCUGCUCACCAUUUAUCUUACCGUAGAAGAACUACUAGGAAUUCAUUCUGAGAGAGCUAACAGAGUACCGCUGAAGAGGACAAAGGCAAAGGAAAGAGAACGGAAACAAACAAAGAAAGCCUGUUAAACACAAAGAAUAGGAGUAAGAAAGAAGUCUGCCAAAGUAUACAGUUAAAUGUGCUCCUUAAUUACGCCGAACAUAUGGUUCAGGCUUUUCUCUCUGCUGCAAAUGCACAACUAUUGGCAUGGUAUCGCUGUUCAUAAUUAAGUUGAUUGAAUUGUAUCACUUGCCAGCUUGACUUGAAAGGCACAAUCAAACAGCAACUCCCAACAACAGGACAUGAGUCCUGCCGAAACACAUGUUAUGUCUGUAUGUUGUGUGCUUGUCAGUUCAUCAACCACUAAGGAAUGUUGACAAUAA
This is an RNA transcript of Musa acuminata AAA Group (dessert banana), 2290 nucleotides long. It is a transcript of the gene named F-box/kelch-repeat protein At1g16250-like, with no coding region annotated. The record is from RefSeq and is a predicted model, not a curated record. Lineage: Eukaryota; Viridiplantae; Streptophyta; Magnoliopsida; Zingiberales; Musaceae. The transcript is spliced from 6 exons.